GAGUUUGAUCCUGGCUCAGGAUGAAUGCUGGCGGCGUGCCUAACACAUGCAAGUCGAGCGGCAGCGCGUCUAGUUUACUAGAUGGCGGCGAGCGGCGGACGGCUGAGUAACGCGUGGGAACAUGCCCCAAAGUGAGGAAUAACUGCCCGAAAGGGUAGCUAAUGCCGCAUAUGGUCUUCGGAUUAAAGGAGUAAUCCGCUUUGGGAGUGGCCUGCGUACGAUUAGAUAGUUGGUGAGGUAAAGGCUCACCAAGGCGACGAUCAGUAGCUGGUCUGAGAGGACGACCAGCCACACUGGAACUGAGACACGGUCCAGACUCCUACGGGAGGCAGCAGUGGGGAAUUUUGGACAAUGGGGGCAACCCUGAUCCAGCAAUGCCGCGUGAGUGAAGAAGGUCUUCGGGUUGUAAAGCUCUUUUGUCAGGGAAGAAACGGUUUUGGAUAAUACCCAAGGCUAAUGACGGUACCUGAAGAAUAAGCACCGGCUAACUACGUG
This 495-nucleotide ribosomal RNA is filed under the name uncultured bacterium. RNAcentral's name for it is "bacterial SSU rRNA". It matches the Rfam family "Bacterial small subunit ribosomal RNA", at positions 9 to 507 of the family's 1533-position model. The record is from RNAcentral.